This is an RNA transcript of Scomber japonicus (chub mackerel), 5356 nucleotides long. It is a transcript of the gene named katanin-interacting protein, with no coding region annotated. The record is from RefSeq and is a predicted model, not a curated record. Lineage: Eukaryota; Metazoa; Chordata; Actinopteri; Scombriformes; Scombridae. The transcript has 28 exons.
AAAAACGCGUGAAUUUCUAAGCUUAUGGCAAACAAAGUACAGUUUUACGAUGAUACGGUAAACAGACAAAACGCAGAUGUCGAUGAUAUCUCUGAAGAUGUGGGAUAGGGUUAUGUGAACAGCAUCCUCUGCAGCCACACAAUGGAUAACGAGGAGAGUAAGGCGUGCCAAGGAGAGAAGCUCGCCUCUACUGUGGAUGACACUCUGGAUGAAUAUUUAAUCGCCCUCCAGCGCAAAAACAGGAUCCUCAAGCGCCUUAAAGUCAAAGACCCCAGGGAGAUUGAGUUGGAGCGGCUAGAGCAAGGCUUUUCCAUUUAUCUUAAUGGAGCCAAUGCUGAAGACUGCAGGAAGCAGCCCAAGAGCACCAGCCACAAGUCUGUCACCUCCACAACUGCUUGGAGGCCUGCACGUACAGCAGAUGUCUGUAGAAGCGCCCACCAGCUAACUGAAGAUACCCAUAAUCUGGAGCAGACCAGCAGGCAGAGGAGCCACACCGCCCCAGGAAAGGUCCAGAGGAAAGAAUGGGUGCAGGAUUCUGUCAGAAUUCGAACAGAAGAAGGACCAAGUUUGCAGAUAUCCCCAGAAAAGCGCUACUCUGAGGAUUUUGAGCCUUAUGAAAGUGUAGCCAUGGAGAGCUCCAGUCCGCGCUCGCCUCGUAGUCCCUGCUCCCAGAGGGACAUCUGCAAGGUUUCGCACUCAUUCAACUACAGGCCUGAGAGCCAAGGAGGACAAGCAAACCAGGAACACAGUGAGAAGGUGCUUCUCAACCUCGAGGAAGUGAAGGUUUUGCGUCAGAGCCUGGAGGUUAGCAUGUGGCGUAGCAACCGCGGCUCAGCAGGGGAGGAGUCAGACGAGGAGUGGGUGGAGGAGCAGAUUGAGAGGGACGAGAGCACUGAGAGUCUGGAUGAACUGGGGCUGCCUCUCUCUUCCUCCAAGUCCUCCUCAAACGCUAGGCCAAGCCCUUCCCAUAGCCAGUUUGACUCUGCAAACCUCAUUGUCCUGGACUUUGGACCUUCACCUAAAGGUCGUAAGAUUGAACGUUCUCUGUCUGCAAAAAGGAAAGACAGCAUUGACAACUUCAUACCCACCAAGCCUAUGUUGGUGAAGAGCAAAACAUUAGAUAGGCCACCUUCAAAAGGGAGCUGGGAUGGUCCAAGGCCAAGGAGUCGGGUGGAGAGGCCCUUAUCAGCAGCCAGGAAGGCUUCCUUUGAGGAUCGAGACCCAGAGGACAUGGCGUGCGGGGUGCGCCAGGCCAUCCAGAGAGAGAACAAGCCUCUGCAAAGUCCUGAGCCCUUGAGUCGCAACACGGGCAGGGGACACCAGAUGAUGAAUGGCUUAGUGCAUCACAACACCCACGACAAGGAUGAGAACAGUGUCAGUGUGGCAAUGCAGAAAAUCACGCUUAUGGGCCCCAGGCAGCAACAGAAACUGUUGAAAGCCUUGGAGAAACUGGAAAGUGGACCCAGCUACAACAUCCCCCAGAGUGUCAAAACAGAUUACAGCAAACAGCUGAGAAGGCAGUUCUCAGAGGUCACCCCUGCACUGUACGUUACCAUGGAGAUCCUGUCAAACUGGGGGAAUGCUCUACAGGUCGGGCUGACUGAGUUGCAGUUUUUCUGCCUCAGAAACAAAAAGCUGUAUGUUUCACCUCACGACCUAGACAUCAGGAACACUGACUACCCGGGGAAUCUGGGGGCACUUGUCAAUGGAAAGGCGAAGACCACCAAAGAGCGUCACAUGUGGACGUGCCCGUUCCAUCCUCCCAUCCAGCUCUACUUCAUCAUCAGAAACACGGAGCGCUCGGCAGACUUUGGAAUAUCCCGCAUCAAAAUCUGGAACUACAACAGAAGCCUCAGUGAGCUUGAUGUUGGUGCACGUCACAUAAAGCUGUACCUCAACAGCACACUGGUGUUUGAAGGGGAGUUGGAGAAGGGCUGUGGCAACCAGGUGUUUGACUACAGCACCACAAUUGAUCUCCAGGAUUUCCAGGUGUCAGACUCCUUGUAUUCCAGCCCUGUGUCUUCAGGAUACAAUCUUCGGGGUGCCAGCCCCCAGCGCUGUGAUGAUAGGAAGGGUGGGGAGGGCACCCAGAGACACCACAGUUCAAAUCCACAGCCGCCAGACACAGCAGAACAGGCAAUGAUGGACAUGCAGGAGAAAUCGCACACACCGCUUCCACCCAUCAUUCCCUCAGCAGCGGGGGUUUCAUCCUCUCCCCGUCGCUCCUCCACACAAAUAAACUCUUUUGACCUGUCCACCUCAGAAGAACCCCUCUCGCUCAGACAGCAGGUGGAGCAGCCAACACCCAUGGAGCAGACGGUCACCACCCAGCCGUCUUCCACCCGGGUCGCCCCCCAGUGGCUGCAGCCACUGAACAGAGGAGCGCCGGAGGGCUGCGAGGUUAGCAGGGAGAGGCCACGGUGGCUGGUGCCUCAGCACUCAGGAGAGCCCAAAUCUCCAUCAGCCUCAGCAUCUUCAAUGCUCCCGGAACUGCCGUGUAACCCGGCCCGGGUGUGCAGGGGAGUGGAGAGGCCAGUAAAUGGAAGUCAGUGGAAGGAUGAUUCUUUGGACAUGAGCUGUGACCUGCUGGAGGAGUUCGGAGAUCAGAAGCUGGACAGGCCCAUCAGCGGACGCAGGAGCUCGUUCCGAAACACUACGGUCACCACCAGGCAGACAGAGGAGCAACACUUUAGAGCUACUGUGCUGUCAAAUACAGACGAGCCGUUGUCAUUGGUAAACACCAGCAGGAGGCAGAGCACCCUUCGAGCCCAGCUGCACAGCCAGCAGGAUGACACCCUCAUGGAGUCCUGGGAUUCCCUCACUAAGUUCAACCAAUGCCAACGUGGACGCAUUUCAAACACUGGCUUUGAAGGUGACAUCUUUGAUGAGUUUCUGCAGCGCCAGGGCCGUGGUCCACCCACACUCCCAGUCAACCCCGCCUCAGCAACCAGGAGCCCACUCUCCUCCUUGAUCGCUCAGGGGCCGCUGUGCGAAGCCCCCGAUGAUGAUUCAGCAAUGGAGCGAGAGGAAGAAUUUGAGAUCCCAGUGCUACCCCAGGGCCAGAGGCUGGUCAUCAACAUCCUGUCCACCUGGGGCGAUCGACACUACGUGGGUCUCAACGGCCUGGAGGUUUUCAGCUCCAGUGGAGAACCGCUCCGACCUGCUCACAUCCGCGCUGACCCUCCAGACAUCAACAUUCUGCCAGCUUAUGGCAAGGAUCCACGUGUAGUCAACAACUUGAUCGAUGGUGUUAAUCGCACACAGGAUGACAUGCAUCUUUGGCUAGCCCCCUUCACCCCUGGUCGAAGCCACACCAUCUUCCUGGACUUUGGAGCCCCCUACCAGGUUGCCAUGAUCCGUGUGUGGAACUACAACAAGUCACGCAUCCACUCUUUCCGAGGGGUGAAGGAGGUGGAAAUGCUGCUGGAUGGAAGGUGCAUCUUCAGAGGCGAGAUUGCAAAGGCUUCUGGGACGCUGUCUGGAGGUCUGGACCAGUUUGGAGAUACUAUCCUGUUCACCACUGAUGAUGAAAUCCUGGAGGCCAUGUCUCGUUAUGAUGAAACCUUCCUUAGUGAAGGUGAUGGUCCAGAGACUCUGGUGUCUGAGGAGGAGCUGCAGAGACCACGCACCGCAGACGGAGAGGGAGAGGAAAGACCUUUCACACAGGCUGGUUUCCGAGAGGAAGACCUAACUUUGAAACUUCACCUCAACCCCACUGUGAGCCAGUCUGAGGAGAACAUGGGGCAGAUUCCUGGGAUGUACACUGGAACGUGCCUUCGACUAGAGCUGGUGUUAACGUGGGGUGACUCCCACUACAUGGGCCUGACAGGUUUGGAGGUGGUGGGGAAGGAUGGAGAGAGUUUACCUUUGGACCUCAGUAUUAUGGCUGCCUCACCCAGGGACCUCAAUGACUUGCCUGACUACGGACAUGAUUUGCGCACUCUUGAUAAGCUUAUAGACGGCCACAACAUUACCACUGAUGACCAGAACAUGUGGCUGAUCCCUUUCCGCUAUGGAGAGCCCCACUCCUUAGAUAUUACCUUCAACGAGCCGCAGACCAUCGCUGGACUCCGUAUCUGGAACUACAACAAGACACCUGAGGACUCUUACAGAGGGGUGAAAGUGAUCCAUGUGUUCAUGGAUAAUGUUGCCAUCUCCCCAACGGAGGGAUUCCUGAUCAGGAAAGGACCGGGAAACUGUCACUUUGACUUUGCCCAGGAGAUCCUCUUUGUAGACUUCAUCCAAACACCCACCGACAACAAGAGUGCUGAAGACUACCCACACAAAGGAAGCUUUAAGAAACAAGAACAGGCCAGCAUGGACUAUGAAGCUCCCAUCAUGCCUUGUGGAUUCAUAUUUCAGCUGCAGCUGUUAACAACCUGGGGGGACCCUUACUACAUCGGCCUGAACGGUCUCGAGUUUUAUGACCAGAAUCACGAAAGGAUUAGUCUCAGUGACAACAACAUCGCUGCUUUUCCAGACAGUGUGAAUGUACUGGACAAUGUGAGUGGUGACGUGAGGACUCCAGAUAAAUUAAUAGAUGGAGUCAACAGUACCCUUGAUGGAAGACAUAUGUGGCUAGCACCGGUGCUCCCUGGACUGGUGAACCGUGUGUACGUCAUCUUUGACCACCCAGUGACCGUGUCCAUGAUCAAGCUGUGGAACUACUCCAAAACGUCACAGAGAGGAGUAAAGGAGUUUGGGCUGCUGGUGGACGACCUCUUGGUGUACAAUGGCAUUUUGGACUGCGUGUGCAAUGUGGCUCGAGGUAUUCUGCCUACCUGUGACCCAGUGGUGCCUUACCACACCAUCCUCUUCACAGACAAUGCAUACAUUGCACACCGUGAGAGGAACACCGUCAUCAGCCCCCAUGGCAGCAGACACCACCAACAGUGAGUAACAGAGCCCCUUAAAGCCUCGUGUCAGCACCUCCCUGUGGUCAAUCCCUGUAUUGAAAAUUCCUCCAGAGCCCUCAAAUGUCCCCCAGCCAUCCCACCACCACACCACAAGCUUGACAUGUGAUGCCCCAGUUUCUCCUCUCUUCCUUUCCUCUCUCCUUUGUUACCUCUCAAGGCCUGGACCCGCUGGCUUCAAGCUUUGUUAUUAGUCAGUCCUCCAUUUUUGUGUCAUUCGUCAGCCUCCCACAGGUGUAUACAUCAGAUUUACUUCAAGUGUUUUGUGCUUGUCUUCAUUUCCUUGCUGUGUUGCAGUAAUUACGUGGAGGAUCAGGAUGUGAAGAUGACCAACGAAAAUCAGAUAGUCCAUCACAACAAGAAGAAGCAGACAGCAGAUCCAGCUCUUCGGCCUAAAACCUGCAUGACUGAUGGUGGGAAGCACGGAAAGAGGAGGUACUGAC